Molecule: long non-coding RNA, 773 nt
Filed under: Nicotiana benthamiana
Lineage: Eukaryota; Viridiplantae; Streptophyta; Magnoliopsida; Solanales; Solanaceae
Description: long non-coding RNA (NBEN_LNC033968)
Source: RNAcentral
AAAAAAAGAGGAGAACGAAAGGGAGUAAGAUUUUGGGGUAAAAGGAAAACUGAAAAAGAAGAAGAGAACUAGAAAGAGUAACAAGAAAAAAAGGAAAGGAAGGAAUUGGGCAAGAAUUAAAAAGGAAAACUGAAAAGUAGCAAAAGAAGAAGAAGGAUAUUUGGGACAAAGAAGAGAUCAGCCGCCAAUUCUAAAAUCUAUUCAGGUUCGGAUCUGACCGGAAAAGAGAAAUUCCGGUGACCUCCAUUAACGUCGAUGAAAUCGCGUUUUGUCUCUCGAUGCUGUAAUCACCAUUUCCAACACCCUUAACAGUCCAAAUGAUUCUCCAAAUAGUUGCGCUUGUUGCUUGAGUUCAGCACUUUCUACCUUUUGUUUUAAUUUCGAGAUCCUGCUGGAGAUGUCACCGUUUGAGGUUGCUUUUUGAGGUUCUGUCCGAAGCUUCAUCGGUUUGUACCGGUCGAGGUUGCGUCUAGUUGAGUUUCUUUUGAGAUUCAAAGUCUAAAGGCAUAUAACGAAGAUAUUAACAAUCUUGAUAAGAAACUUGAUCAUCUAAAGAAUCAAUUUGAGGUACAAUUAUGUUUUAAUUUUUACUCUAGCUUGUUUCAAGUAGAUUUUGUCUAUGUACAGUAAUAUGGUGCCAGCAUCAAUGCAGACAUCAUUUCUGGUUUUGGAUUUCAAGAUGUCCAGUAAUGUUUUAUCAAAAGAGUUAAAAUAUAAACUUACGAAUUAUUAAAUAUUUGGAAAAUCUAAAUAGAUAAUACUUUUGUUUUUAC